UGUCUUGUAGUAUAGGUCUCAUUACUGUAAACUGCAACUUUACCAAAGCUUUUAGCCAAGGCAU
Molecule: transfer RNA, 64 nt
Filed under: Utterbackia peninsularis (peninsular floater)
Lineage: Eukaryota; Metazoa; Mollusca; Bivalvia; Unionida; Unionidae
Description: tRNA-Cys
Source: RNAcentral